AACGUGGACCCGUAAUCCGGGUUGCGGACAGUGUCUGGUGGGUAGUUUGACUGGGGCGGUCUCCUCCUAAAGAGUAACGGAGGAGCACGAAGGUUGGCUAAUCCUGGUCGGACAUCAGGAGGUUAGUGCAAUGGCAUAAGCCAGCUUGACUGCGAGCGUGACGGCGCGAGCAGGUGCGAAAGCAGGUCAUAGUGAUCCGGUGGUUCUGAAUGGAAGGGCCAUCGCUCAACGGAUAAAAGGUACUCCGGGGAUAACAGGCUGAUACCGCCCAAGAGUUCAUAUCGACGGCGGUGUUUGGCACCUCGAUGUCGGCUCAUCACAUCCUGGGGCUGAAGUAGGUCCCAAGGGUAUGGCUGUUCGCCAUUUAAAGUGGUACGCGAGCUGGGUUUAGAACGUCGUGAGACAGUUCGGUCCCUAUCUGCCGUGGGCGCUGGAGAACUGAGGGGGGCUGCUCCUAGUACGAGAGGACCGGAGUGGACGCAUCACUGGUGUUCGGGUUGUCAUGCCAAUGGCACUGCCCGGUAGCUAAAUGCGGAAGAGAUAAGUGCUGAAAGCA
This 556-nucleotide ribosomal RNA is filed under the name Salmonella enterica subsp. enterica serovar Seattle. Its description in RNAcentral is "partial 23S ribosomal RNA". It matches the Rfam family "Bacterial large subunit ribosomal RNA", at positions 2224 to 2779 of the family's 2925-position model. Lineage: Bacteria; Pseudomonadati; Pseudomonadota; Gammaproteobacteria; Enterobacterales; Enterobacteriaceae. The record is from RNAcentral.